This 89-nucleotide small nucleolar RNA is filed under the name Arabidopsis suecica. Its description in RNAcentral is "U54". It matches the Rfam family "Small nucleolar RNA U54". Rfam says of the family: U54 is a C/D box small nucleolar RNA, which acts as a methylation guide for 18S ribosomal RNA in plants. The record is from RNAcentral. Lineage: Eukaryota; Viridiplantae; Streptophyta; Magnoliopsida; Brassicales; Brassicaceae.
GGCUCUGUGAUUACUUUGCUUAAUUGGCAGUAUACGCUAUUCUGAGAAACAGAGUAUGAAGAUAAAUAAUUUUUUACUUAAUGAGAGCC